RNAcentral lists this ribosomal RNA (429 nucleotides) under uncultured bacterium. RNAcentral's name for it is "bacterial SSU rRNA". It matches the Rfam family "Bacterial small subunit ribosomal RNA", at positions 28 to 444 of the family's 1533-position model. The record is from RNAcentral.
GAUGAACGCUGGCGGCGUGCUUAAUACAUGCAAGUCGAACGAAUGGAUGUCUAGCUUGCUAGACUGAAGUUAGUGGCGAACGGGUGAGUAAUACAUAGGCAAUCUGCCCUGAAGUGUGGGAUAGCUAUUGGAAACGAUAAUUAAUACCGCAUAGGUAGUAGGAAGGCAUCUUCCUAACUAUUAAAGGAUGCGUUUGCAUCGCUGCAGGAUGAGCUUAUGGUGUAUUAGCUAGUUGGUGGGGUAAAGGCCUACCAAGACCAUGAUACGUAGCCGACCUGAGAGGGUGAUCGGCCACACUGGGACUGAGGACACGGCCCAGACUCCUACGGGAGGCAGCAGUGGGAAUCUUCCACAAUGGGUGAAAACCUGAUGGAGCAAUGCCGCGUGAAUGAAGAAGGUCUUCGGGAUCGUAAAGUUCUGUUAUUAGAG